Molecule: ribosomal RNA, 880 nt
Filed under: uncultured archaeon
Lineage: Archaea
Description: bacterial SSU rRNA
Rfam family: Archaeal small subunit ribosomal RNA
Source: RNAcentral
GUGGCAGCAGCCGCGGUAAGACCAGCACCUCAAGUGGUCAGGAUGAUUAUUGGGCCUAAAGCAUCCGUAGCCGGCUCUGUUAGUUUUCGGUUAAAUCCAUAUGCUCAACAUAUGGGCCGCCGGGAAUACUACAAAGCUAGGGAGUGGGAGAGGUAGACGGUACUCCGUAGGAAGGGGUAAAAUCCUUUGAUCUAUGGAUGACCACCAGUGGCGAAGGCGGUCUACCAGAACACGUUCGACGGUGAGGGAUGAAAGCUGGGGGAGCAAACCGGAUUAGAUACCCGGGUAGUCCCAGCUGUAAACUAUGCAAACUCAGUGAUGCAUUGGCUUGUGGCCAGUGCAGUGCCGCAGAGAAGUCGUUAAGUUUGCCGCCUGGGAAGUACGUACGCAAGUAUGAAACUUAAAGGAAUUGGCGGGGGAGCACCACAAGGGGUGAAGCCUGCGGUUCAAUUGGAGUCAACGCCAGAAAUCUUACCCGGAGAGACAGCAGAAUGAAGGUCAAGUUGAAGCCUUUACCAGACAAGCUGAGAAGUGGUGCAUGGCCGUCGCCAGCUCGUGCCGUGAGGUGUCCUGUUAAGUCAGGUAACGAGCGAGAUCCUUGCCUCUAGUUGCCACCAUUACUCUCAGGAGUAGUGGGGCGAAUUAGCGGGACUGCCGUAGUUAAUACGGAGGAAGGAGAGGGCCACGGCAGGUCAGUAUGCCCUGAAACUCUGGGGCCACACGCGGGCUGCAAUGGUAGUGACAAUGUGUUCCGAAUCCGAGAGGAGGAGGUAAGCCUCAAACGGGACCACAGUUAUGACUGAGGGCUGCAACUCGCCCUCACGAAUAUGGAAUCCCUAGUAACUGCGUGUCAUUAUCGCGCGGUGAAUACGUCCCUGCU